GCCAUGCCGCGUGGAGGAUGAAGGUCCUCUGGAUUGUAAACUUCUUUUAUCUGGGAMGAAACACUUCUUUUCUUAGAGGCCUGACGGUACCAGAUGAAUAAGCACCGGCUAACUCCGUGCCAGCAGCCGCGGUAAUACGGAGGGUGCAAGCGUUAUCCGGAUUCACUGGGUUUAAAGGGUGCGUAGGUGGGUAUGUAAGUCAGAGGUGAAAUCCCCGAGCUUAACUUGGGAACUGCCKUUGAUACUAUAUAUCUUGAAUGUCGUAGAGGUAAGCGGAAUAUGUCAUGUAGCGGUGAAAUGCUUAGAUAUGACAUAGAACACCAAUUGCGAAGGCAGCUUACUAUGCGAUUAUUGACACUGAGGCACGAAAGCGUGGGUAGCAAACAGGAUUAGAUACCCUGGUAGUCCACGCCCUAAACUAUGGAUACUCGACAUACGCGAUACACUGUGUGUGUCUGAGCGAAAGCAUUAAGUAUCCCAC
Molecule: ribosomal RNA, 481 nt
Filed under: uncultured Sphingobacteriales bacterium
Lineage: Bacteria; Pseudomonadati; Bacteroidota; Sphingobacteriia; Sphingobacteriales
Description: bacterial SSU rRNA
Rfam family: Bacterial small subunit ribosomal RNA
Source: RNAcentral